ACACACACACAUGCACGCAUGCACACACACACACACAGAAGGUGAACACACAGGAUGAGGCCCUGAAAACUCAUUUCACCCGUGUACCUCACCCAAAAAUUCCCCUUUGUACUCCUAUCUUUAUCUCUAACUGACAGCAUGAAGGUAGCCCGAAGUCCCCUCACCCUGUCUGUCCUCCUGAUUCUCUAGCCCAGUUCCCUCUAGCUCCAGCACAGACUCUUAUCUCCAGCCCUGACUGCCGAAACCCUCCAGCCCCAGCUCCAGCCCCUCAGGAGGGGACUGCGUGGGAGGAAUGACUCCAGCAAGCCGGCAGCUGACCCGUCUCCUGCCUGCACGCCUCCCGCUGUGGUCCACUGCCGGUGGUCUUCAGCUCUCUCCUCGUCCCACCCCCAUGGUCUGCUGACAGCCCAGCUCAGUGCAUCCCUGCCAUCUCUGCUCUACCGCUGGUCCUCCCAACAACCAACUUACAGGUUUGGGGGCACACGUGAAGGUUUGACAUAUAGUAAACACAUGUCAUGGUGGUUUGUUGUACAGAUUAUUACAUCACCCAGGGUUUCACUCCCGUCACCCAGACUGGAGUACAAUGGUGCGA
Molecule: long non-coding RNA, 592 nt
Filed under: Homo sapiens (human)
Lineage: Eukaryota; Metazoa; Chordata; Mammalia; Primates; Hominidae
Description: HSALNT0351663
Source: RNAcentral